This 30-nucleotide non-coding RNA is filed under the name Rattus norvegicus (Norway rat). Lineage: Eukaryota; Metazoa; Chordata; Mammalia; Rodentia; Muridae. The record is from RNAcentral.
GUGCCCAAGAAUAUUAAAUCUGAAGAACCA